This 402-nucleotide ribosomal RNA is filed under the name uncultured bacterium. RNAcentral's name for it is "bacterial SSU rRNA". It matches the Rfam family "Bacterial small subunit ribosomal RNA", at positions 362 to 758 of the family's 1533-position model. The record is from RNAcentral.
UUUUGGACAAUGGGCGAAAGCCUGAUCCAGCAAUGCCGCGUGCAGGAAGAAGGCCUUCGGGUUGUAAACUGCUUUUGUACGGAACGAAACGGCCUUUUCUAAUAAAGAGGGCUAAUGACGGUACCGUAAGAAUAAGCACCGGCUAACUACGUGCCAGCAGCCGCGGUAAUACGUAGGGUGCGAGCGUUAAUCGGAAUUACUGGGCGUAAAGCGUGCGCAGGCGGUUCUAUAAGACAGAUGUGAAAUCCCCGGGCUCAACCUGGGAAUGGCAUUUGUGACUGUAGAGCUAGAGUACGGUAGAGGGGGAUGGAAUUCCGCGUGUAGCAGUGAAAUGCGUAGAUAUGCGGAGGAACACCGAGGCGAAGGCAAUCCCCUGACCUGUACUGACGCUCAUGCACGAAA